This 453-nucleotide ribosomal RNA is filed under the name uncultured bacterium. Its description in RNAcentral is "partial 16S ribosomal RNA". It matches the Rfam family "Bacterial small subunit ribosomal RNA", at positions 28 to 523 of the family's 1533-position model. The record is from RNAcentral.
GAUGAACGCUGGCGGUCUGCUUAACACAUGCAAGUCGAACGGAAUCCCUCGGGAUUUAGUGGCGGACGGGUGAGUAACGCGUGAGAAUCUGCCUUCAGGUUCGGGACAACAGCUGGAAACGGCUGCUAAUACCGGAUGUGCCGAGAGGUGAAAGCUUUAGUGCCUGAAGAUGAGCUCGCGUCUGAUUAGCUAGUAGGAGUGGUAAUGGCGCCCCUAGGCGACGAUCAGUAGCUGGUCUGAGAGGAUGAACAGCCACACUGGGACUGAGACACGGCCCAGACUCCUACAGGAGGCAGCAGUGGGGAAUUUUCCGCAAUGGGCGCAAGCCUGACGGAGCAAGACCGCGUGAGGGAAGAAGGUCUGUGGAUUGUAAACCUCUUUUGAUGGGGAAGAAGACAGUGACGGUACCCAUCGAAUCAGCCUCGGCUAACUCCGUGCCAGCCGCCGCCGUAA